Molecule: ribosomal RNA, 573 nt
Filed under: Bacillus subtilis
Lineage: Bacteria; Bacillati; Bacillota; Bacilli; Caryophanales; Bacillaceae
Description: bacterial SSU rRNA
Rfam family: Bacterial small subunit ribosomal RNA
Source: RNAcentral
GAUGGGAGCUUGCUCCCUGAUGUUAGCGGCGGACGGGUGAGUAACACGUGGGUAACCUGCCUGUAAGACUGGGAUAACUCCGGGAAACCGGGGCUAAUACCGGAUGGUUGUUUGAACCGCAUGGUUCAAACAUAAAAGGUGGCUUCGGCUACCACUUACAGAUGGACCCGCGGCGCAUUAGCUAGUUGGUGAGGUAACGGCUCACCAAGGCAACGAUGCGUAGCCGACCUGAGAGGGUGAUCGGCCACACUGGGACUGAGACACGGCCCAGACUCCUACGGGAGGCAGCAGUAGGGAAUCUUCCGCAAUGGACGAAAGUCUGACGGAGCAACGCCGCGUGAGUGAUGAAGGUUUUCGGAUCGUAAAGCUCUGUUGUUAGGGAAGAACAAGUACCGUUCGAAUAGGGCGGUACCUUGACGGUACCUAACCAGAAAGCCACGGCUAACUACGUGCCAGCAGCCGCGGUAAUACGUAGGUGGCAAGCGUUGUCCGGAAUUAUUGGGCGUAAAGGGCUCGCAGGCGGUUUCUUAAGUCUGAUGUGAAAGCCCCCGGCUCAACCGGGGAGGGUCAUUG